Non-coding RNA from Paramesorhizobium deserti, 141 nucleotides. The record is from Rfam. Lineage: Bacteria; Pseudomonadati; Pseudomonadota; Alphaproteobacteria; Hyphomicrobiales; Phyllobacteriaceae.
AACCGAGUUAACUCUUCAUUAAUCCUAAGCGUGUUAAAUGCUUGAUAUCCGGUUUAUCUGGAUACUUACCGAGUGGUUUUGCCACUCUGUUUGACGCCUCCCUGUUAAACUCCUGAGAGCCGCCUUUGCGGCUCUUUUUUU